This 107-nucleotide small nuclear RNA is filed under the name Chrysemys picta bellii (western painted turtle). RNAcentral's name for it is "U4 spliceosomal RNA (ENSCPBG00000008866.1)". It matches the Rfam family "U4 spliceosomal RNA". Rfam says of the family: U4 small nuclear RNA (U4 snRNA) is a component of the major U2-dependent spliceosome. The structure of U4 snRNA from yeast and human has been reported. The record is from Rfam by way of RNAcentral. Lineage: Eukaryota; Metazoa; Chordata; Testudines; Emydidae.
AGCUUUGCGCAGUGGCAGUAUCAUAGCCAAUGAGGUUAAUCCAAAGUGCGAUUAUUGCUAAUUAAUGUUUCCAUCUAUGCUGCAAUGUUUAAAGAAUGUAACAGUAU